AACAAGUAUUAAAGGCAACGCCUGCCCAGUGAAUAAUUAAACGGCCGCGGUACCCUAACCGUGCAAAGGUAGCAUAAUCAUUUGUCUAUUAACUGUAGACCUGUAUGAAAGGCAAAAUGAGAGUCAAGCUGUCUCUUAUAAUAAAUCUAUUAAACUGAUCUCCUAGUAAAAAAGCUAGGAUGACAACAUAAGACCAGAAGACCCUGUGAAGCUUAAACCAAACUAUUAAACCAAAUAAUAACUACUUUCGGUUGGGGCGACCUUGGAAAUAAAAAGAACUUCCAAACACAAUGCUUAAACAUACAAAUAUUCAGGCCCACAAGCCAACAAACGACCCAGCAAAGCUGAUAAAUGAACAAAGUUACUCCAGGGAUAACAGCGCUAUCUUCUUCAAGAGCCCAUAUCAAAAAGAAGGUUUACGACCUCGAUGUUGGAUCAGGACAUCCUAAUGGUGCAACCGCUAUUAAGGGUUCGUUUGUUCAACGAUUAAUGUCCU
Molecule: ribosomal RNA, 496 nt
Filed under: Hebius octolineatus (eight-lined keelback)
Lineage: Eukaryota; Metazoa; Chordata; Lepidosauria; Squamata; Natricidae
Description: partial large subunit ribosomal RNA
Rfam family: Bacterial large subunit ribosomal RNA
Source: RNAcentral